AAAGUUCAAAAUGAGCGUGAACAAGGUCAAAAGGUUAUCUCAGGUCAGCUCAAACCUCACCGCCAUGGACCACCGCGUCAAAAAUCGCCUCCGACGCGGUGGCCACCAAAAAUACCAAUUGAAUACACCAUUGAAACCGUUUCAAUCUCCUCUUCACAAAUAUCUCUCCAAUUUCUCUAUAUUCUUUCUCUAGCUCAAAAAAUGAUACAAAGUCCUCAAUAACCCUAGCCUCUUAAUCUUAAAUUAAACACUGCUCUCAAAGAAUCAAAGCCCAGGGGUUUGGGACUCUGAUUCCUCGUGCCCUAAAUCAUAUUCCGGUAUCAAGUUCAGUGUGAAAUGAGGAAGAAGAGCUCACCUGUGAAAUUCUUCGGCGAUGGUUGUGACGACGACAAUGAAAGGAGAUCAGGUUGUACAGAUUCAAUGGCUAAGCUAGUUUAAAGGAGGAUGGUGCUGAUGUCUGCAGAAGUAACCAUUUGGCUUGGUCAAAACCAUGGGCCAUGUAGUUAGGAUCAAGGGCUGCAAGGAUCUUCAAGUUAUGGCUAUCCCAAGCUCAACCAUGUUCAUGGCAUGGUGACUACAAAAUGGAAAAUCAAGUCCACAUGGCUAAAUCAAGAUCAAAAUGGACAUGGAGGGUGAAAUUAGAGCUUAGGAUUUGGACAUUUAUUGGUUUAGGAUAAAAAAGAAUUCGGGUUGACUUUGGUCAAAGUUGACCAAAAAGUCAUCUAUUAACCAAAGUCAACAAUUAGUCAACAUGUAAUUUUUUGGAUUUUUUGUGUAUGUAAUGGACUUUUAUGAAUAAAAUUGGCUAUUUGAAUGAAAAAUUAAUGGUUUUAGUGUA
Molecule: long non-coding RNA, 838 nt
Organism: Lathyrus oleraceus (garden pea)
Lineage: Eukaryota; Viridiplantae; Streptophyta; Magnoliopsida; Fabales; Fabaceae
Exons: 3
Source: RefSeq, a predicted model, not a curated record